GACGAGCGCUGGCGGCGUGCUUAGCACAUGCAAGUCGAACGGAAAGGCCCUGCUUUUGUGGGGUGCUCGAGUGGCGAACGGGUGAGUAACACGUGAGUAACCUGCCCUUGACUUUGGGAUAACUUCAGGAAACUGGGGCUAAUACCGGAUAGGAGCUCCUGCUGCAUGGUGGGGGUUGGAAAGUUUCGGCGGUUGGGGAUGGACUCGCGGCUUAUCAGCUUGUUGGUGGGGUAGUGGCUUACCAAGGCUUUGACGGGUAGCCGGCCUGAGAGGGUGACCGGCCACAUUGGGACUGAGAUACGGCCCAGACUCCUACGGGAGGCAGCAGUGGGGAAUAUUGCACAAUGGGCGGAAGCCUGAUGCAGCAACGCCGCGUGCGGGAUGACGGCCUUCGGGUUGUAAACCGCUUUCGCCUGUGACGAAGCGUGAGUGACGGUAAUGGGUAAAGAAGCACCGGCUAACUACGUG
RNAcentral lists this ribosomal RNA (468 nucleotides) under uncultured bacterium. Its description in RNAcentral is "partial 16S ribosomal RNA". It matches the Rfam family "Bacterial small subunit ribosomal RNA", at positions 28 to 507 of the family's 1533-position model. The record is from RNAcentral.